This 393-nucleotide ribosomal RNA is filed under the name uncultured bacterium. Its description in RNAcentral is "partial 16S ribosomal RNA". It matches the Rfam family "Bacterial small subunit ribosomal RNA", at positions 523 to 918 of the family's 1533-position model. The record is from RNAcentral.
AUACGGAGGAUCCGAGCGUUAUCCGGAUUUAUUGGGUUUAAAGGGUGCGCAGGCGGGAGAUUAAGUCGGCGGUGAAAUUUUGCAGCUCAACUGUAAAAGUGCCCUCGAAACUGGGUUUCUUUCGUGUAGAUGAAGGAGGCGGAAUUUGUGGUGGCGCGGGGGAAUGCAUAGAUAUCACGAGGAACUCCGAUUGCGCAGGCAGCUUACUAAACUACUACUGACGCUCAGGCACGAAGGCGUGGGGAUCAAACAGGAUUAGAUACCCUGGUAGUCCACGCAGUAAACGAUGAUUACUAGCUGUUUGCGAUACAAUGUAAGCGGCUGAGCGAAAGCGUUAAGUAAUCCACCUGGGGAGUACGUUCGCAAGAAUGAAACUCAAAUGAAUUGACGGGG